Molecule: ribosomal RNA, 231 nt
Filed under: uncultured prokaryote
Description: partial 16S ribosomal RNA
Rfam family: Bacterial small subunit ribosomal RNA
Source: RNAcentral
UACGUAGGUGGCAAGCGUUGUUCGGAAUUAUUGGGCGUAAAGGGCGCGUAGGCGGCUCGUUAAGUCGGCUGUGAAAGCCCGGGGCUCAACCCCGGAGGGUCGACCGAUACUGGCGAGCUAGAGUACGGAAGAGGUAGCUGGAAUUCCCGGUGUAGCGGUGAAAUGCGUAGAUAUCGGGAAGAACACCGGUGGCGAAGGCGGCUCACUGGCUCGUUUCUGACGCUCAGGCGC